AGGGAUAUAACUCAGCGGUAGAGUGUCACCUUAACGUGGUGGAAGUCAUCAGUUCGAGUCUGAUUAUCCCUA
RNAcentral lists this transfer RNA (72 nucleotides) under Capsicum annuum. It matches the Rfam family "tRNA". From Rfam's summary of the family: Transfer RNA (tRNA) molecules are approximately 80 nucleotides in length. Their secondary structure includes four short double-helical elements and three loops (D, anti-codon, and T loops). Further hydrogen bonds mediate the characteristic L-shaped molecular structure. tRNAs have two regions of fundamental functional importance: the anti-codon, which is responsible for specific mRNA codon recognition, and the 3' end, to which the tRNAs corresponding amino acid is attached (by aminoacyl-tRNA synthetases). tRNAs cope with the degeneracy of the genetic code in two manners: having more than one tRNA (with a specific anti-codon) for a particular amino acid; and 'wobble' base-pairing, i.e. permitting non-standard base-pairing at the 3rd anti-codon position. Lineage: Eukaryota; Viridiplantae; Streptophyta; Magnoliopsida; Solanales; Solanaceae. The record is from Rfam by way of RNAcentral.